This 248-nucleotide unclassified non-coding RNA is filed under the name rhizosphere metagenome. RNAcentral describes it as "partial ribosomal RNA internal transcribed spacer region". The record is from RNAcentral.
GUAGGUGAACCUGCGGAAGGAUCAUUACCGAGAUAGGGUCCCUUCGGGGGCCCGACCUCCAACCCUUUGUCUAUAUAACCUCUGUUGCCUCGGUGGGCCGUCGAAAGCUCGUUCUUCGAGCCUAGCCGUCGGCCCCUUGUGAGCCCUCGAGCGCCCACCGAAGGACUCCAAUAAAACCAAAUUUGAAAUCAGACCUCUGAGUGGAAUUUAAUACUUCAAAACUUUCAACAACGGAUCUCUUGGUUCUG